GACUCUUCCUAGAGCUGGCCCCCCGGACAAACUGAGCAAUCGGGGGAGAAGGGCCUUGGUCAGGGAGGUGACCAAGAACCCGAUGGUCACUCUGACAGAGCUCCAGAGUUCCUCUGUGGAGAUGGGAGAACCUUCCAGAAAAACAACCAUCUCUGCAGCAUUCCACCAAUCAGGCCAGAGUGGCCAGACGGAAGCCACUCCUCAGCCCGCUUGGAGUUUGCCAAAAAUAACCUUAAAGGACUCUCAGACCAUGAGAAACAAUAUUCUCUGGUCUGAUGAAACCAAGAUUGAACUCCUUGCCCUGAAUGCCAAGUGUCAUGUCUGGAGGAAACCAGGCACCGCUCAUUAACCUUUUCAAUGCCAUCCCUGUUGUGAAGCAUGGUGGUGGCAGCAUCAUGCUGUGGUGAUGUUUUUCAGCUGCAGGGACUGGGAGACUAGUCAGGAAAAGAUCAAUGGAGCAAACAAGGUAUAGAUGAAGCCUCCACAGCGCUCAGGACUCAGAAGACUGGCACAAAUCUUCACCUUCCAACAGGAUAACAAUAGGAGUGGUUUGGGACAAGUCUCUGGCUGAGCCACUCAGCCAGAGCCCGGACUUGAACCUGAUCGAACAUCUCUGGAGAGACCUGAAAAUGCCUGUGCAGCGACACUCCCAUCCAACCUGACAGAGCUUGAGAGGAUCCACAGAGAAUAAUGGGAGAAACUCCUCAAAUACAGGUCUGCCAAGUUUGUAGCGUCAUACCCAAGAAUAAUCAAGGCUGUAAUUGCUGCCAAAGGACAGUGAGGUGGACUGUCGGCUCUCAAACCUUCAUGAGGAGGACACUGUAGAAGUUGUCCCCACGGUGACAAGGACUGGCAGGGACAACAUGCUGCUGAGGCUGAAGAAAGGGCUGAGGGACAAUCACACCCUCACAGGACAUACCCUCACAGCCCAGGUGAGCACGAUACGAUAAGCCAGGGUAACAGAACACACACACAAAGACACACACAAGACAGGAAGGUGAACAUUGUGGCGAAGAAUCAACAUUUGGCUAGCCUGGUCCCAGAUCUGUUCAUCCUGUUGUAUGAUAGUUGUCAUGCUAUGUUACCAUAGGAGAUGGCUAUACGUAGGAGUUGGCUAUGUGGGCAAGCGAGGGCAAGUGGUUAUGCGUAGUAGGGGACCAACAUUGUUGUAGGUUGAGGCACUCCAGGUAGUGUGAUUCAUUGCGGACAUAGGCACCAGUAAAGGUAACUGUCAAAUAUGUCCACACUGAUGCCCUCUCUAUGGAUUAGGAUGCCAUUUGGAACGCAGCCCUAGCAUUGAAAUAUAAUAAACCUUUGUUCCUCCUGUGCAGGGUGAACCUGGCGUGGGCUACACUGAGCUGACAGAGGAGUGUAGGGCAGCCCAGCCCCCAAAGGGACUCUUAUCAAAUUUAUACAAGAAUUCCUCUGUGUUGCCUUAGGAAUACAUCUCUCUCUACUACAGGAGCUGGGUCGUGUCAGAGGUCUGGCUGUCAAGCAGACUGAGAUCCCGAGGAAGGCAUCCCACGAGCAGCUGGCUCAGUAUGUCCAAACGCACGAUGCAAAUGUUAAAGAAUAUACUCCAUAUUGACGUUGAAUCAAAUAGAUUGAACACUUUGCUGAGACUGGUUUCUCUUCACUUGCAGAGGGACAGAAUGUGUGCUUGCAAGGUCAGGCUGGUUUAGGGAGGUUCUAGAAAUACAGUACGCUUGAUGCCAUGCCAACUGAUGCCUGUCCCCCACCCCUCCAGGUGUAAGAUACUGCCCAGCGUUGCUCCCCAUCCACAUCCAUUUUGAUGACAAUAUCCCUGAGAUGAAUGUUGUAUAUAAUGUUAUGGCUAUGAUGGUUACAGGUUUGAAUGAGACAAUGUAUUCCUCUAACCUUAUUCUUUCAAUAAAGUUUUUCUUUCAUUAAUAUUA
Molecule: long non-coding RNA, 1916 nt
Organism: Salvelinus fontinalis (brook trout)
Lineage: Eukaryota; Metazoa; Chordata; Actinopteri; Salmoniformes; Salmonidae
Exons: 2
Source: RefSeq, a predicted model, not a curated record